GAUGAACGCUGGCGGCGUGCCUAAUACAUGCAAGUCGAGCGAACGGACGAGAAGCUUGCUUCUCUGAUGUUAGCGGCGGACGGGUGAGUAACACGUGGAUAACCUACCUAUAAGACUGGGAUAACUUCGGGAAACCGGAGCUAAUACCGGAUGAUAUUUUGAACCGCAUGGUUCGAAAGUGAAAGACGGCCUUGCUGUCACUUAUAGAUGGAUCCGCGCUGCAUUAGCUAGUUGGUAAGGUAACGGCUUACCAAGGCAACGAUGCAUAGCCGACCUGAGAGGGUGAUCGGCCACACUGGAACUGAGACACGGUCCAGACUCCUACGGGAGGCAGCAGUAGGGAAUCUUCCGCAAUGGGCGAAAGCCUGACGGAGCAACGCCGCGUGAGUGAUGAAGGUCUUCGGAUCGUAAAACUCUGUUAUUAGGGAAGAACAUAUGUGUAAGUAACUGUGCACAUCUUGACGGUACCUAAUCAGAAAGCCACGGCUAACUACGUG
RNAcentral lists this ribosomal RNA (497 nucleotides) under uncultured bacterium. RNAcentral describes it as "partial 16S ribosomal RNA". It matches the Rfam family "Bacterial small subunit ribosomal RNA", at positions 28 to 507 of the family's 1533-position model. The record is from RNAcentral.